GUGUUUUCCGUGCAGCUGUAGCGACUCGGCUGUAAAACCAAUCAGUGGAAUGUGAUCAACUUAGACGAAGCAGAAGGAUGUAGCGUGAUGUCCACCAGAGUGUUGAAAGCUGUCAGGAUGACGUAGAAACGUGAUGCUUGCCGGCCACAGACACACAAGUUUUCUCUGCAGCAGUCUGAGGCUGUUUCCACCGUCGACGUUUUAUUAAACCACUUCUUAAUACUCUAA
Stegastes partitus (bicolor damselfish) is the source of this 228-nucleotide long non-coding RNA. RefSeq lists it as uncharacterized. The record is from RefSeq and is a predicted model, not a curated record. The transcript has 3 exons. NCBI's taxonomy places the organism in Eukaryota, Metazoa, Chordata, Actinopteri, Pomacentridae.